Molecule: ribosomal RNA, 472 nt
Filed under: uncultured bacterium
Lineage: Bacteria
Description: bacterial SSU rRNA
Rfam family: Bacterial small subunit ribosomal RNA
Source: RNAcentral
GACGAACGCUGGCGGCGCGCCUAACACAUGCAAGUCGAACGAGCGAGAGAGAGCUUGCUUUCUCGAGCGAGUGGCGAACGGGUGAGUAACGCGUGAGGAACCUGCCUCAAAGAGGGGGACAACAGUUGGAAACGACUGCUAAUACCGCAUAAGCCCACGGGUCGGCAUCGACCAGAGGGAAAAGGAGCAAUCCGCUUUGAGAUGGCCUCGCGUCCGAUUAGCUAGUUGGUGAGGUAAUGGCCCACCAAGGCGACGAUCGGUAGCCGGACUGAGAGGUUGAACGGCCACAUUGGGACUGAGACACGGCCCAGACUCCUACGGGAGGCAGCAGUGGGGAAUAUUGCACAAUGGGGGGAAACCCUGAUGCAGCGACGCCGCGUGGAGGAAGAAGGUUUUCGGAUUGUAAACUCCUGUCGUUAGGGACGAUAAUGACGGUACCUAACAACGAAAGCACCGGCUAACUACGUGCCAG